RNAcentral lists this ribosomal RNA (259 nucleotides) under Staphylococcus epidermidis. Its description in RNAcentral is "partial 23S ribosomal RNA". It matches the Rfam family "Bacterial large subunit ribosomal RNA", at positions 2312 to 2576 of the family's 2925-position model. The record is from RNAcentral. Lineage: Bacteria; Bacillati; Bacillota; Bacilli; Caryophanales; Staphylococcaceae.
GAAAUCAGAAUGGUUGGAAAUCAUUCAUAGAGUGUAAAGGCAUAAGGGAGCUUGACUGCGAGACCUACAAGUCGAGCAGGGUCGAAAGACGGACUUAGUGAUCCGGUGGUUCCGCAUGGAAGGGCCAUCGCUCAACGGAUAAAAGCUACCCCGGGGAUAACAGGCUUAUCUCCCCCAAGAGUUCACAUCGACGGGGAGGUUUGGCACCUCGAUGUCGGCUCAUCGCAUCCUGGGGCUGUAGUCGGUCCCAAGGGUUGGG